CCCAAUCAAACUGGUGGCAUGUGUCCAUCUGGAUUUCAGUGUUAAUAUGGACCAGUGACUGCUGUGUUUCUCUCCUUCUCCCCCUUUUGGAAUUAGAGUGUUUAUUUCAGUUAUCCUACCCCUGUAUCAUCACUGUAUAUUGCGUCUGUCAGGGUAGGUGAAUUCUCCUUAGUUCCAAGACUUUUAGAUUAAUAGGAACUGUAACCAAGGAACCAAGUCCAUGGAGCCACCUCCACUCCUGGACCUGAUUUAGAUAAGAUCCUUUACCUGGAGCCUGAACCUCACACCCUAGUGAAUAACACUUUGGGAAAUGUUUGGGAAAGAGACAGCAUUUUUGGCAAGUGGAGGGAGAGAAAUAAUUUGUGGCCAAAGGGCACAAUAGGGUGGCUUUUAAAACACGCCAACAUUUGUUGACCUUUUUCUCAUAGAGGUGAACCACACCUGGUUCUCUGGGGACAUUUGCUCUGGGGGAAGCCAGCUACCAUGUAAGAAGCCCAAUUUCCCUGGGACUGAUUGUAAAGGCCAGAGGUAGGCCUUCUGAAGGGAAGCCUUACUGAGCUCUCAGCCACCGGCCAGCCACAAUGAGCAGUCACAUGAGUGAAUGACUUGGAAGUCCAGCUCUGUUCAGCAUGCUGAUGUCUGACAUUUGCCUGCAACUGCAUGAAAGAUUCCAAAAGUUGCAAGUCACUCAAGGGAAAGCAGAAUUCAAGAAGUGGAUGUCACAAAGCCGACACUGAAAGUGUAAUACUUGGUACCAACCAGGUUUUUGAAGCCAUCAAUGAAGAAAACCCAGACACAGCAUUUGAACUGACACAGACACACACACCCCCCAAAACAAACUUCUGAGGAGCAAAACAAAAUAAGUCCACUCUAGUUUGAAAUUUCUUAAUUAAGGGGUUAUUCACAUAAAUUUUCACAUGCUUACCUUAACAUUUUAU
This 938-nucleotide long non-coding RNA is filed under the name Equus caballus (horse). Its description in RNAcentral is "lncRNA (ENSECAG00000047578.1)". The record is from RNAcentral. Lineage: Eukaryota; Metazoa; Chordata; Mammalia; Perissodactyla; Equidae.